This 74-nucleotide transfer RNA is filed under the name Chlamydia trachomatis. RNAcentral describes it as "tRNA-Arg(ccg)". It matches the Rfam family "tRNA". Rfam says of the family: Transfer RNA (tRNA) molecules are approximately 80 nucleotides in length. Their secondary structure includes four short double-helical elements and three loops (D, anti-codon, and T loops). RNAcentral also lists the same sequence under 1 other name. Lineage: Bacteria; Pseudomonadati; Chlamydiota; Chlamydiia; Chlamydiales; Chlamydiaceae. The record is from RNAcentral.
GGGCUUGUAGCUCAGUGGAUAGAGCGUCUGCCUCCGGAGCAGAAGGUCGUGAGUUCGAAUCUCAUCAAGCCCAC